This 511-nucleotide ribosomal RNA is filed under the name uncultured bacterium. RNAcentral describes it as "bacterial SSU rRNA". It matches the Rfam family "Bacterial small subunit ribosomal RNA", at positions 28 to 526 of the family's 1533-position model. The record is from RNAcentral.
GACGAACGCUGGCGGCGUGCUUAACACAUGCAAGUGGUGCGACGAACCAGGCUUCGGCCUGGGGCAAAGCCGCGAACGGGUGAGUAACACGUGAGUAAUCUGCCCCGAUGACCGGGACAACCCGAGGAAACUCGGGCUAAUACCGGAUGAUGAGCCUCGGCGUAAGCCUUGUCUCUAAAGGAAGCUUCGGCCUCCGCAUCGGGAGGAGCUCGCGGCCCAUUAGCUAGUUGGUGGGGUAACGGCCUACCAAGGCGACGAUGGGUAGCUGGUCUGAGAGGACGAUCAGCCACACUGGGACUGAGACACGGCCCAGACUCCUACGGGAGGCAGCAGUGGGGAAUCUUGCGCAAUGCGCGAAAGCGUGACGCAGCAACGCCGCGUGGGGGAAGAAGGCCUUCGGGUUGUAAACCGCUUUCAGGAGGGACGAAGCCACUCGGGUGAAUAGCCCAGAGGGUGACGGUACCUCCAGAAGAAGCCCCGGCUAACUACGUGCCAGCCGCCGCCGUAACAC